This is a small nucleolar RNA of Portunus trituberculatus (swimming crab), 191 nucleotides long. RefSeq annotates it as small nucleolar RNA U3. The transcript has a single exon. Lineage: Eukaryota; Metazoa; Arthropoda; Malacostraca; Decapoda; Portunidae. The record is from RefSeq and is a predicted model, not a curated record.
GUGAUACUUCAUAGAAUCACUUCUACAGUAUGAUUGCCAAGUUCCUUGACCGAAACUUGGUGUAAUCUCAUGCCACGAUGACGAGGUUGAGUGUCCGUGCCUGAACGGGAAGCUGCCUUGUGGAUCAUCCUGAGGCUUGAGGACCGUCCACAUCCGAGAGGGUGUGGUGGGUCGGGCAAAGACUGAGUGAA